GCAUUUGCCAAUUAUCUUUUUUUUUAAUGAAAGAACUGUGUGGGAGAUCUCCACAGCAAAGUCAUUACUUAAAAAAACAAAGGAGGCACAAAAAGUACAUCGUACAAAGCCUGUUGUCAUCUUUUAGUGCGUUGAAAUGUUGUCACCUGGUUUCUGAUGACAUCCUCUUGCCUCUGAUUAGAUUUGUGUUUGUCUGUUUGAUAUUUCAGUAACAAUUUGGGACCACUUUGUAUAUGAUUGAAAAUAUGCAUUGUUUUCCUUAUUUUAUUCAAUCGUUCAAUCUUGUUCCUCGGGAAUGCUAGCUUUUGCAUUAAAUCUUAUGCUUUUGAAGAUUGUGCAAAUUUUUUUGGAGGCUAGAAUGCAAUCAUGUUGUGGAGGUUUUCGAGUCAUUACUAUGAUAAAAUGCCAAUUUGUCCCUCCCCGCUUAGUCCUGUCUCCCUUUUGUACAGUUAUAUUUGCAUGUGCUACUAUUUGUAUUCAAUGUUGAAAAUAGGAUGAUCUUGCACACUGAACUGCAGAUUAAGAGAGUUUGCACUUGCUUUAUGACUUGCAGCUAAAUACACAUUCCAACUGACAGAUUCUCAAAGUGAGCUGCUUCGUUAUUCUGGAGGAGGCUGUCUCCGUGGCUUAAGGUUUAUACAAGCUUUAUGGCGUAGAGUAGAUGCUAGCUCUUCCCUGUACAGGCAAUCUAUUUAUCACCAAUUCUUCUUAACUUGAUGUACACUCAGAAUUUUCAUGGUAGAGAUGAUAGUCAGUCUAAUGAGAUGUCGAUUCGGUCCCGUAUUCAUUUUGAUAGCCUUUAGAUUUCUAGUCAAGGCUGUACAAAACUUCAUCAUGAGUGCUACUUAUACCGUGGUUUCUUCCCUACUCUUUUGCUGUGAAGGGAAUGCUAUUUCUGCUUACCUGCACAUAUCUCAGCGUUGUGGGGAGGAGUAAUUCUGUACGUCUAAGCUACUGCCGGAAAUGCUAUCUUGCCUGAUCCAUACA
This is a long non-coding RNA of Sorghum bicolor (sorghum), 987 nucleotides long. RefSeq lists it as uncharacterized. NCBI's taxonomy places the organism in Eukaryota, Viridiplantae, Streptophyta, Magnoliopsida, Poales, Poaceae. The record is from RefSeq and is a predicted model, not a curated record. The transcript is spliced from 2 exons.